UAUAAAAAGCGAAAUAUAUUGCAUUCGGUUUCGGCCCGUAUCUUGGAGGUGUGAGUCCUUCUUUAUAU
RNAcentral lists this transfer RNA (68 nucleotides) under Iotyrris cerithiformis. RNAcentral describes it as "tRNA-Arg". Lineage: Eukaryota; Metazoa; Mollusca; Gastropoda; Neogastropoda; Turridae. The record is from RNAcentral.